RNAcentral lists this ribosomal RNA (324 nucleotides) under Priestia megaterium. Its description in RNAcentral is "bacterial SSU rRNA". It matches the Rfam family "Bacterial small subunit ribosomal RNA", at positions 363 to 679 of the family's 1533-position model. Lineage: Bacteria; Bacillati; Bacillota; Bacilli; Caryophanales; Bacillaceae. The record is from RNAcentral.
CUUCCGCAAUGGACGAAAGUCUGACGGAGCAACGCCGCGUGAGUGAUGAAGGCUUUCGGGUCGUAAAACUCUGUUGUUAGGGAAGAACAAGUACGAGAGUAACUGCUCGUACCUUGACGGUACCUAACCAGAAAGCCACGGCUAACUACGUGCCAGCAGCCGCGGUAAUACGUAGGUGGCAAGCGUUAUCCGGAAUUAUUGGGCGUAAAGCGCGCGCAGGCGGUUUCUUAAGUCUGAUGUGAAAGCCCACGGCUCAACCGUGGAGGGUCAUUGGAAACUGGGGAACUUGAGUGCAGAAGAGAAAAGCGGAAUUCCACGUGUAGC